CGAACGACACCUUUUUUUUUUUUUUAACGAAGAGGGUGACGGAUCGGUAUUGAGGAUUUUUGCCAUUCACCGUGGCUUCCUCGAAAAGCAUUAGCGCAUCCAUUCAAUAGGCAAGACGGACGAAAGCUCGAAUUUCGCCCUGUUCUUCCCUGCCGGGUUUUGAUAAUAUCAGGACUUCGGAGGCGGAGAGAGGGUUCAAGCUGGACGCAACGUUUUGCUGGUUGGAGUGCUUCUAACCCCGCCCAUGACUGGUCCUUCGGGAACAGGAAGGGAUUUUUUCAAUCAUCGGCCUCA
This 294-nucleotide unclassified non-coding RNA is filed under the name Metschnikowia sp. JSKim-2014. Its description in RNAcentral is "partial contains 18S rRNA, ITS1, 5.8S rRNA, and ITS2". The record is from RNAcentral. Lineage: Eukaryota; Fungi; Ascomycota; Pichiomycetes; Serinales; Metschnikowiaceae.